UACGUAGGGUGCGAGCGUUAAUCGGAAUUACUGGGCGUAAAGCGUGCGCAGGCGGCUUUGCAAGACAGAUGUGAAAUCCCCGGGCUCAACCUGGGAAUUGCGCUUGUGACUGCAAGGCUAGAGUACGGCAGAGGGGGAUGGAAUUCCGCGUGUAGCAGUGAAAUGCGUAGAUAUGCGGAGGAACACCAAUGGCGAAGGCAAUCCCCUGGGCCUGUACUGACGCUCAUGCACGAAAGCGUGGGGAGCAAACAGG
Molecule: ribosomal RNA, 253 nt
Filed under: uncultured bacterium
Lineage: Bacteria
Description: partial 16S ribosomal RNA
Rfam family: Bacterial small subunit ribosomal RNA
Source: RNAcentral